AUUGAACGCUGGCGGCAUGCCUUACACAUGCAAGUCGAACGGUAACGGGCCUUCGGGUGCCGACGAGUGGCGAACGGGUGAGUAAUGCAUCGGAACGUACCUUUCAGUGGGGGAUAACGUAGCGAAAGUUACGCUAAUACCGCAUAUUCUGUGAGCAGGAAAGCAGGGGAUCGCAAGACCUUGCGCUGAUUGAGCGGCCGAUGUCGGAUUAGCUAGUUGGUGAGGUAAAGGCUCACCAAGGCGACGAUCUGUAGCGGGUCUGAGAGGAUGAUCCGCCACACUGGAACUGAGACACGGUCCAGACUCCUACGGGAGGCAGCAGUGGGGAAUUUUGGACAAUGGGGGCAACCCUGAUCCAGCCAUGCCGCGUGAGUGAAGAAGGCC
This 384-nucleotide ribosomal RNA is filed under the name uncultured bacterium. RNAcentral's name for it is "bacterial SSU rRNA". It matches the Rfam family "Bacterial small subunit ribosomal RNA", at positions 30 to 416 of the family's 1533-position model. The record is from RNAcentral.